UGGGGAAUAUUGGACAAUGGGCGAAAGCCUGAUCCAGCCAUGCCGCGUGUGUGAAGAAGGUCUUCGGAUUGUAAAGCACUUUAAGCGAGGAGGAGGGUACUGGUAUUAAUACUACCAGGUACUGGACGUUACUCGCAGAAUAAGCACCGGCUAACUCUGUGCCAGCAGCCGCGGUAAUACAGAGGGUGCGAGCGUUAAUCGGAAUUACUGGGCGUAAAGCGCGCGUAGGUGGUUCGUUAAGUUGAAUGUGAAAGCCCCGGGCUCAACCUGGGAACUGCAUCCAAAACUGGCGAGCUAGAGUAGGGCAGAGGGUGGUGGAAUUUCCUGUGUAGCGGUGAAAUGCGUAGAUAUAGGAAGGAACACCAGUGGCGAAGGCGACCACCUGGGCUCAUACUGACACUGAGGUGCGAAAGCGUGGGGAGCAAACAGG
This 430-nucleotide ribosomal RNA is filed under the name Pseudomonadota bacterium. RNAcentral describes it as "Proteobacteria bacterium partial 16S ribosomal RNA". It matches the Rfam family "Bacterial small subunit ribosomal RNA", at positions 355 to 776 of the family's 1533-position model. Lineage: Bacteria; Pseudomonadati; Pseudomonadota. The record is from RNAcentral.